RNAcentral lists this ribosomal RNA (492 nucleotides) under uncultured bacterium. RNAcentral's name for it is "partial 16S ribosomal RNA". It matches the Rfam family "Bacterial small subunit ribosomal RNA", at positions 29 to 507 of the family's 1533-position model. The record is from RNAcentral.
AGUGAACGCUGGCGGUAGGCCUAACACAUGCAAGUCGAACGGCAGCACAGUAAGAUCUCGCCCUUACGGGUGGCGAGUGGCGGACGGGUGAGGAAUACAUCGGAAUCUACUUUUUCGUGGGGGAUAUCGUAGGGAAACUUACGCUAAUACCGCAUACGACCUACGGGUGAAAGCAGGGGAUCUUCGGACCUUGCGCGAUUGAAUGAGCCGACGUCGGAUUAGCUAGUUGGCGGGGUAAAGGCUCACCAAGGCAACGAUCCGUAGCUGGUCUGAGAGGAUGAUCAGCCACACUGGAACUGAGACACGGUCCAGACUCCUACGGGAGGCAGCAGUAGGGAAUCUUGCGCAAUGGGCGCAAGCCUGAUCGAGCCAUGCCGCGUGAGUGAUGAAGGCCUUCGGAUUGUAAAGCCCUUUUGUUAGGAAAGAACAACUGCGGAUUAAUCCCCCGCCGUCCUGACGGUACCCAAUGAAAAAGCCACGGCUAACUUCGUG